Molecule: small nucleolar RNA, 66 nt
Organism: Amazona collaria (yellow-billed parrot)
Lineage: Eukaryota; Metazoa; Chordata; Aves; Psittaciformes; Psittacidae
Product: small nucleolar RNA, C/D box 104
Source: Ensembl
GCCGCGAUGAUGUCUCUUGACACGUGUUAGACUGCUGAUGUGCAUGAAGCAAACCUACUACUGAGC